RNAcentral lists this ribosomal RNA (492 nucleotides) under uncultured bacterium. RNAcentral's name for it is "partial 16S ribosomal RNA". It matches the Rfam family "Bacterial small subunit ribosomal RNA", at positions 29 to 507 of the family's 1533-position model. The record is from RNAcentral.
AGUGAACGCUGGCGGUAGGCCUAACACAUGCAAGUCGAACGGCAGCACAGUAAGAGCUUGCUCUUACGGGUGGCGAGUGGCGGACGGGUGAGGAAUACAUAGGAAUCUACUUUUUCGUGGGGGAUAACGUAGGGAAACUUACGCUAAUACCGCAUACGACCUACGGGUGAAAGCAGGGGAUCUUCGGACCUUGCGCGAUUGAAUGAGCCGAUGUCGGAUUAGCUAGUUGGCGGGGUAAAGGCCCACCAAGGCAACGAUGCGUAGCUGCUCCGAGAGGGUGAUCGGCCACACUGGAAAUGAGACCCGGUUCAGACUGCUACGGGAGGAAGCAGUAGGGAAUAUUACGCAAUGGGCGCAAGCCUGAAGGAGCAAAGCCGCGUGAGUGAUGAAGGUCUUCGGAUCGUAAAACUCUGUUAUUAGGGAAGAACAAAUGUGUAAGUAACUAUGCACGUCUUGACGGUACCUAAUCAGAAAGCCACGGCUAACUACGUG